GACCAAUGCUGGUCUAUGCGACGGAAUCAUAAUCCGCAGGUCCGGGGUUCGAGUCCCUGAUUCGCCACCA
RNAcentral lists this transfer RNA (70 nucleotides) under Pandoraea sp. ISTKB. RNAcentral's name for it is "tRNA-Met". Lineage: Bacteria; Pseudomonadati; Pseudomonadota; Betaproteobacteria; Burkholderiales; Burkholderiaceae. The record is from RNAcentral.